AAAUCAAAGAGGAGGUCCAUAUUCAUUGAGCCUGCCUAAAUUACAAAGUUAAAAUACAAAUUUACCCCUUUUGUUUAAAAGCCUAAUCAAAAUUAGAUCUCUCUCAUCGAUCUCUCUUUGCUGGAAGUUGAGGUCAGCCUGACGGAGUUUAGGUCCUCGACCUCGCCGACUCCAUAGCCUCCUCAUCUCUCUUCGGCCUCUCCUUGUCGGAGAUCAAGAUAAAUGAGAUGGCAGUAGGCAGAGUUUUUGUUCCUAACAAGACGUUGGUCUCCUCUCCCAAGUUUCCAACACGUUGUUUUCCUCUCCCAAGUUCCCAACAAACAAAAAGGCGUGCUCUCCUCUCCCAAGUAACCAAGUUUUCAACAUUCAUUUUCAAAAAUUGAUUAUUUUUUCUUUGCCCAAAUUGAUUAUUUUUUUCUUUGCCCAAAUUGUUUCUUCACUUGUUCUUUACAACUUAUUCUUUCCUUUGCCAAGGCCAAACUGUGUGCUCUCUCUGAUCCUAUCCACUCCACGCCACACCAUCUCUCUCAUAUUACAAAGUACUUGGAAUUUGAAGCCAUGAUAUGAUUGCAAGAAGAAACAAAGAAAAUUAGGAGGUGAAUCCCUAAUUUGUCAAUGCUUUCCAUAUAUUAUUUGUGUAGUUAUUUUAAUAAACAUUUUUUUCAUAUAUUAUUUUUGUAGUUAUUUUACCAGACUUUUUUGCUGGUUGAUGAUUGUGCGUGCUUGAGUUCUUGAUUGCAUCUUGUUGAUGUUUGUACCUGCUUUAGUUUUUUUAUCUUCAAUUUUUUUUUGGUUUGCAAAAGACAAUUUAGUGACUAUGAGUAUGUGAAAAUAGAUGUAAUUGAUGCCACUAAAGAUGAUUUUUGUUUAAUUUAUGGAUUUUAAAAUUUUAAAAUUUGUUAUUUUACUUGUACGUAUAAGGCCUCAUCAUUUUUCUUUGCACAUAAGACAUAAAGUAGGAUAGAUUAAUACUAAACAAUUUAAUUGUUUUGUUAUUUGCAGAAUAGAUAACAAAUUUUUUUGAGAGCGUAGGAACCAAUAAAGUAUGUUCCAAUGUCAGAGAAUGAGUUAAAUCAACACUUCCAGCACUAGUGAUUGGAGAGGGCACACCAUUGGCAUUAGCAACAGUAGCACAAGCAAGAGAACGAUGAUUGUGAAUGAGAGACGCAUUAAACGUCAUAUGAUCAAUAGCUCCAGCAUCAAGAAUCCAACCACAGUCCUUUUGAGAAUCAGUAGCAAAGAGAGCUGGACCAAUAUUACUUGAUUGUUGGAGAAUGACAGUAUCUACCACAGAAAGAGUAAAAGUGACGGACAAUAAGAUGUGUCAGUUCAAUGGCACAAACGGUGGUUUUUCCCUCUUUUCGGCUAGGGGAGGUGUCAUGGCCCUCGCGAGCCCUUCGCUCUUUAUAGCUAUCCCACCACUUAGGGUAUCCAUUUUUCUAAAAUACUGCUUUACAGCAUGGCAAGUACUGCAACAGUGAGUACACUUCCCAGUAGUAGAACCAUGAUAUGAGUAUUGAGUCAACGACUGAUUCCAACCACAGUCCUUUUGAGAAUCAGUAGCAAAGAGAGCUGGACCAAUAUUACUUGAUUGUUGGAGAAGGGCAGUAUCUACCACAGAAAGAGUAAAAGUGACGGACAAUAAGAUGUGUCAGUUCAAUGGCACAAACGGUGGUUUUUCCCUCUUUCCGGCUAGAGGAGGUGUCAUGGCCCUCGCGGGCCCUUCGCUCUUUAUAGCUAUCCCACCACUUAGGGUAUCCAUUUUUCUAAAAUACUGCUUUACAGAAUGGCAAGUACUGCAACAGUGAGUACACUUCCCAGUAGUAGAACCAUGAUAUGAGUAUUGAGUCAACGACUGAUUCCCAUGUUUCUUGACAGCUAUAGCCAAACUGGAAGCACUACCCAGAUUAAGCAUGGUAUUGCG
RNAcentral lists this long non-coding RNA (1924 nucleotides) under Prunus persica (peach). Its description in RNAcentral is "long non-coding RNA (PPER_LNC006454)". Lineage: Eukaryota; Viridiplantae; Streptophyta; Magnoliopsida; Rosales; Rosaceae. The record is from RNAcentral.